CCUACGGGAGGCAGCAGUGAGGAAUAUUGGUCAAUGGACGAGAGUCUGAACCAGCCAAGUAGCGUGAAGGAUGACUGCCCUAUGGGUUGUAAACUUCUUUUAUAUGGGAAUAAAAUGUUCCACGUGUGGGAUUUUGUAUGUACCAUAUGAAUAAGGAUCGGCUAACUCCGUGCCAGCAGCCGCGGUAAUACGGAGGAUCCGAGCGUUAUCCGGAUUUAUUGGGUUUAAAGGGAGCGUAGGUGGAUUGUUAAGUCAAUUGUGAAAGUUUGCGGCUCAACCGUAAAAUUGCAGUUGAAACUGGCAGUCUUGAGUACAGUAGAGGUGGGCGGAAUUCGUGGUGUAGCGGUGAAAUGCUUAGAUAUCACGAAGAACUCCGAUUGCGAAGGCAGUUCACUGGACUGCAACUGACACUGAGGCUCGAAAGUGUGGGUAUCAAACAGGAUUAGAUACCCCAGUAGUC
RNAcentral lists this ribosomal RNA (460 nucleotides) under uncultured bacterium. RNAcentral describes it as "partial 16S ribosomal RNA". It matches the Rfam family "Bacterial small subunit ribosomal RNA", at positions 338 to 795 of the family's 1533-position model. The record is from RNAcentral.